This 220-nucleotide small nucleolar RNA is filed under the name Amphiprion percula (orange clownfish). RNAcentral describes it as "Small nucleolar RNA U3 (ENSAPEG00000005169.1)". It matches the Rfam family "Small nucleolar RNA U3". Rfam says of the family: Small nucleolar RNAs (snoRNAs) are involved in the processing and modification of rRNA in the nucleolus. There are two main classes of snoRNAs: the box C/D class, and the box H/ACA class. U3 snoRNA is a member of the box C/D class. The record is from Rfam by way of RNAcentral. Lineage: Eukaryota; Metazoa; Chordata; Actinopteri; Pomacentridae.
AAGACUAUACUUUCAGGAAUCAUUUCUAUAGUUUCUAACUUGAGAAAAUGUGUUUCUAGAGUGUAUGGUCUCGCCAACAAUGAUGAUGAGUUGUGAUAGUUCCUUUAUGGAGUAUGAAAUCUGAAAGAGAUUAAUGAUAUGUUUCAUAUGUUGUAUAUUGUUGAUGAUUGUUCAUUGCUUUCUGGAAGAGCAGUAAAACAGAGAAUAUGUUCAGAGUGGU